CCCGCUGAACUUAAGCAUAUCAAUAAGCGGAGGAAAAGAAACUAACAAGGAUUCCCCUAGUAACUGCGAGUGAAGCGGGAAAAGCUCAAAUUUAAAAUCUGGGGGUCCCUGUGGCCCUCCGAGUUGUAAUCUAGAGAAGUGCUAUCCGCGCUGGACCGUGUACAAGUCUCCUGGAACGGAGCGUCAUAGAGGGUGAGAAUCCCGUCUUUGACACGGACUACCAGGGCUUAUGUGAUGUGCUCUCAAAGAGUCGAGUUGUUUGGGAAUGCAGCUCUAAAUGGGUGGUAAAUUCCAUCUAAAGCUAAAUAUUGGCGAGAGACCGAUAGCGAACAAGUACCGUGAGGGAAAGAUGAAAAGAACUUUGGAAAGAGAGUUAAACAGUACGUGAAAUUGUUGAAAGGGAAACGCUUGAAGUCAGUCGCGUUGCCCCAGAAAUCAACCUUGCUUUUGCUUGGUGUACUUUCUGGUUAACGGGUCAGCAUCAAUUUUGACCGGUGGAUAAAGGUCAGGGGAAUGUGGCAUCUUCGGAUGUGUUAUAGCCCUUGGUUGCAUACAUCGAUUGGGAUUGAGGAACUCAGCAUGCCGCAAGGCCGGGUUUUUAACCACGUACAUGCUUAGGAUGCUGGCAUAAUGGCUUUAAUCGACCCGUCUUGAAACACGG
RNAcentral lists this ribosomal RNA (661 nucleotides) under uncultured fungus. Its description in RNAcentral is "eukaryotic LSU rRNA". It matches the Rfam family "Eukaryotic large subunit ribosomal RNA", at positions 24 to 664 of the family's 3401-position model. The record is from RNAcentral. Lineage: Eukaryota; Fungi.